AGUGAACGCUGGCGGCAGGCCUAACACAUGCAAGUCGAGCGGCAGCGGGUUCCCGCGAGGGGAUGCCGGCGAGCGGCGGACGGGUGAGGAACACAUCGGAAUCUGCCUGGUUGUGGGGGAUAACGUAGGGAACUUACGCUAAUACCGCAUGCGACCCUGAGUCGACGGACUUGGGGUGAAAGUGAGGGACCUUCGGGCCUCACGCGACCAGACGAGCCGAUGUCGGAUUAGCUAGUUGGCGGGGUAACGGACCCGCCAAGGCGACGAUCCGUAGCUGGUCUGAGAGGAU
This 289-nucleotide ribosomal RNA is filed under the name uncultured bacterium. RNAcentral describes it as "partial 16S ribosomal RNA". It matches the Rfam family "Bacterial small subunit ribosomal RNA", at positions 30 to 301 of the family's 1533-position model. The record is from RNAcentral.